AGGGGCCCAGGGACACAGCCAGGGACACUCACCAAAUCCUCAGGGUCAUUAAUCACGGCACCACAAGAAAUAACUCAUUCAACACACACUGAACGGGGAUAACUACUACUACUACUACUACUACUACUACUACUACUACUACUACAAGACGAAAUUAAGAAAAUUGAAGCCUUCUCUCAGACAUGAACAAAGAAGAGCAAUUCUUGACAAACAGGCAAACAAACAAACAAACAAACAAGGACAGCGUUGAGUCUCGCAGGUCACGCCAGUCUCUCGGAAACUGUUGCUUGCUUCACCUGGCAAUUGUGAACCACCUAGCAAAAACCGAGCCACCCUAUUGAUUGACAGGGGAUCACCAUCAGCCCUCCCAUUGGCCCAGAGCUUCGUGGAUUGUGAUUGGACGGCUGGCUGGCUGAUCUGACUUGACCUGACCUCAACUGAGCCAGCAUGAUUUACGUUUUCCUCGUUGACACGGGCACCAUGAUGACCUUUGACAUGAACCUGGCACUAGAGAGUGUUGAGGUGGUGAAGGGUGCAAUACACAAUGUUGUCAAGGUGCCCCCAGACAAGCAGGUGCUGCUGGCCUCUGGGGGUGAAACACUGGACUCCUGCAAGCGGGUGUGUCAUUACUCGGCCGGCACAGACAUGUCCUCCAUCUUUCUGUUCUCCAAGGUGGCCAUUGAGGGAGCAGCCCCCCAACCCCCUCUGUGCAGUCUGGCAGGGACGGCGACCUCAGGGCACAGGUGGAGGGGUGCCUCAACAUGCCAGCCACCUACAACAGUGUGGUGGCGCGGACACAGUUAGCACAGCAGUUUUACGAGCACGCCAGUGAGGUCACCAGAAUGUGCCGCCAACUUGUUCACAACCAGCAUCUGCAGCAACAAGGCUGGGCAGUAGUGGUAGGCAACUUGGAAGACAUUGUGGCAGCCUUCAGAGCAAGACAUGAUGCAUUCCAGCAAAACUUUGUAAUCUCAGUGGCCGGGAGGAGAAGGUGUGUGUGUGUGUGUGUGUGUGUGUGUGUGUGUGUGUGUGUGUGUGUGUGUGUGUGUGUGUGUGUGUGUGUCAAGGUUGGAGGAGAGGUGGAGGGAACAUGGAGGAAGGUCUGCGAGGGAGGAGAAGCCUGCAGGUAACUUGUGGGAGAUAUGGAGGAGAGAAGAGAGGUUGGUGGAGGGAAAAAUGUGUGGUUGUCAUGUCAGACUAUCUAACAAAAGCACUAUUUUAAUCAUGAAGCAAGUGUUGCAGGAUAGUCAGGAUUGGAGGAAAGAUGGAGGGAGCAUGGAGGAAGGUCUGCGAGUGAGGAGAAGCCUGGAGAUAACUUGUGAAGGGAGAUAUGGAGGAAAGAAGAGAGGGAGGUGGAGAGAAUGUCUUGCAUAUUUUUUUAUUAUUUACAAGUUUCUCCUACAGUUGUGUGUGACUCUUUACUCUUCCUGGCAACUCACCAAUGGGGAGAGGAGGAGGAGGAGGAGAAGAGAGGAGAGAGGAGGAAAGAGAUAGAAAAAUGGUUGGAGAGUGUGUGUGUGUGUGUGUGUGUGUGUGUGUGUGUGUGUGUGAGGGGGUCACUUAUUGGUGAGGGACUGUGGGGAGUCACUGUGGGUUUGUAAGCAUACUGUGGGGGGACAUACUGUGGCACUGUGGGCUGAGGUGAGGUGAGGUGAGAGAGAGAGAGAGAGAGAGAGAGAGAGAGAGAGAGAGAGAGAGAGAGAGAGAGAGAGAGAGAGAGAGAGAGAGAGAGAGAGAGAGGGGAGGGGGCAGCAUGAGUGAAACAAAGCAGAUGUUGAUUGUUGAUGAUGCAGGGGAGAGGUGUUGUUGUUAUUCAGUGUUCUUCAUUGCACGAGAUGUUGUUGUUGUUGUUGUUGUUAUUGAUUGGCAACCAAGCCUGGCUGGCGUGGGCCUUGUCAUGUGGCCCACAGGUAAUUCUUAGUGGUCAGUCUAUCUCGGUGAGUACAGCUGAGCGCUGCCUGAUUGCACGAGAGGUAUUGUUCAUAGUUGUUCAUUGUAGGUGAGGGAAGACACAGUAUGUUGAGGGAAGGCAGCAGCUGUGGAGGAGUGAACAGCUGCACCACUGACAGCAGCAGCAGCAGCACCAGUAGCACUGCUGAAUACUUCUACUACCACUACUAACUACUGCUGAUGUUUUUCUCCUCCUCCCAGCACAGCAGCAGACUCGGGUACUGUUACAGCUCUGCUCCCUCCUUCAGGACACGUUCCCAUCACCUUCACGUCCUGGACACGUGCACAAACUUGUGCCUGGGCAGUCUCACUGCAGCAACUGCCAGUGCUGUGGCUGGGUGGCAGGAGGGAAGGACAAGCUGGCCACCCUCUCUGUCACCACCUGCUGGGGAAAGACCACCACUAUCAUCAUCAUCUUUGUUUUCCUUUUUUUGUUUUCUUUCACAAUUUACAAGGAAUAUUAACAGUUUGUUUUGUUAGUGUUGUGUUUGUUAUGAAAUGAUGUGUUGAUUGUGUUGUUGUUUAUGUGUUAGUUGUUGUUGUGUUUUAUAUGUGUGACUGAUGAAUAAAGGCAGUCCACACU
Scylla paramamosain (green mud crab) is the source of this 2533-nucleotide RNA transcript. RefSeq lists it as uncharacterized. NCBI's taxonomy places the organism in Eukaryota, Metazoa, Arthropoda, Malacostraca, Decapoda, Portunidae. The transcript has 8 exons. The record is from RefSeq and is a predicted model, not a curated record.